RNAcentral lists this ribosomal RNA (506 nucleotides) under Vibrio sp. Elimpetgut1.R1. Its description in RNAcentral is "bacterial SSU rRNA". It matches the Rfam family "Bacterial small subunit ribosomal RNA", at positions 10 to 495 of the family's 1533-position model. Lineage: Bacteria; Pseudomonadati; Pseudomonadota; Gammaproteobacteria; Vibrionales; Vibrionaceae. The record is from RNAcentral.
AGUUUGAUCCUGGCUCAGAUUGAACGCUGGCGGCAGGCCUAACACAUGCAAGUCGAGCGGAAACGACACUAACAAUCCUUCGGGUGCGUUAAUGGGCGUCGAGCGGCGGACGGGUGAGUAAUGCCUAGGAAAUUGCCUUGAUGUGGGGGAUAACCAUUGGAAACGAUGGCUAAUACCGCAUGAUGCCUACGGGCCAAAGAGGGGGACCUUCGGGCCUCUCGCGUCAAGAUAUGCCUAGGUGGGAUUAGCUAGUUGGUGAGGUAAUGGCUCACCAAGGCGACGAUCCCUAGCUGGUCUGAGAGGAUGAUCAGCCACACUGGAACUGAGACACGGUCCAGACUCCUACGGGAGGCAGCAGUGGGGAAUAUUGCACAAUGGGCGAAAGCCUGAUGCAGCCAUGCCGCGUGUAUGAAGAAGGCCUUCGGGUUGUAAAGUACUUUCAGUUGUGAGGAAGGGUGUGUAGUUAAUAGCUGCNCANCUUGACGUUAGCAACAGAAGAAGCACCG